RNAcentral lists this ribosomal RNA (421 nucleotides) under uncultured bacterium. RNAcentral describes it as "bacterial SSU rRNA". It matches the Rfam family "Bacterial small subunit ribosomal RNA", at positions 358 to 771 of the family's 1533-position model. The record is from RNAcentral.
GGAAUUGUUCACAAUGGGCGCAAGCCUGAUGACGCAACGCCGCGUGGGGGAUGAAGGUCUUCGGAUUGUAAACCCCUGUCGAACGGGACGAAAGACUCGGGAGCUAAUCAUCUCGAGAGUGACGGUACCGUGAAAGGAAGCCACGGCUCACUCGGUGCCAGCAGCCGCGGUAAUACAGAGGUGGCAAGCGUUGUUCGGAAUUACUGGGCGUAAAGGGCGAGUAGGUGGCCAUCUAAGUCAGACGUGAAAUCCCCCGGCUUAACCUGGGAACUGCGUCUGAUACUGGACGGCUUGAGUAUGGGAGAGGGAUGUAGAAUUCCAGGUGUAGCGGUGAAAUGCGUAGAUAUCUGGAGGAAUACCGGUGGCGAAGGCGGCAUCCUGGACCAUUACUGACACUGAACCGCGAAAGCUAGGGGAGCAA